This 468-nucleotide ribosomal RNA is filed under the name uncultured bacterium. RNAcentral's name for it is "partial 16S ribosomal RNA". It matches the Rfam family "Bacterial small subunit ribosomal RNA", at positions 28 to 507 of the family's 1533-position model. The record is from RNAcentral.
GACGAACGCUGGCGGCGUGCUUAACACAUGCAAGUCGAACGGAAAGGCCCUGCUUUUGUGGGGUGCUCGAAUGGCGAACGGGUGAGUAACACGUGAGUAACCUGCCCUUGACUUUGGGAUAACUUCAGGAAACUGGGGCUAAUACCGGAUAGGAGCUCCUGCUGCAUGGUGGGGGUUGGAAAGUUUCGGCGGUUGGGGAUGGACUCGCGGCUUAUCAGCUUGUUGGUGGGGUAGUGGCUGACCAAGGCUUUGACGGGUAGCCGGCCUGAGAGGGUGACCGGCCACAUUGGGACUGAGAUACGGCCCAGACUCCUACGGGAGGCAGCAGUGGGGAAUAUUGCACAAUGGGCGGAAGCCUGAUGCAGCAACGCCGCGUGCGGGAUGACGGCCUUCGGGUUGUAAACCGCUUUCGCCUGUGACGAAGCGUGAGUGACGGUAAUGGGUAAAGAAGCACCGGCUAACUACGUG